AUUUAUCAGUUUCAAGGCUGAUAUUAGCAAGAUGGAAUCAAACAAUCUGAUUUUAGGAAUACGCAAAUUAGGGUUUAGGGUUUCAAUUCGAAAUUAGGGUUUUAUCAUUCAAUCAGCUUCUAGCAAAUAAUCUUAAACCUCAGAACAUUUGAUUAUAUCAUGAAACUAUCAACCUAGUAUAAUAUGAAACCUCAAAACAUUCAAUUCGGAUUAUGCAAUACACAGAUUCUAUUUUAGGGUUUAUCAAUUUCAAUUUUAACAAUCAAACAACAUUCAAUCAAAACAUUCAAUUCUCAAAACAAUCAAACCGAUUUUGA
This 317-nucleotide long non-coding RNA is filed under the name Brassica napus (rape). Its description in RNAcentral is "long non-coding RNA (BNAP_LNC019679)". Lineage: Eukaryota; Viridiplantae; Streptophyta; Magnoliopsida; Brassicales; Brassicaceae. The record is from RNAcentral.